CGUAUGUCAGGGAUGCGGUAACUGCGAUGCCGGACUCUUCCUUUCCGCUCUUCUUGCUCCGUCACGCCAAGAUUCUUUACAGACAGGGUCCCCGCUGAAGGACCCAUCCCGGGCCCUUUUCUUCAAGGCCCUGCUAGCAGAUCUGAAAAGUACAAGGGCGGAUUCCACAUAUUUUCUUGUCCAGAGAUCCUGCCGGAAUUAGAAACCCGGCGUCCAAGAUGGCGGCCAGGAAGUCUUCCGGGAUGUCGGAAUUCUUUUUUUCUGCCGACCCCAGGAAUUCCGAAGCUACCCGAGUCGGAAAAUUCCAAAGGUGCUGUCGGAGCAACGAAACGUCUGAUGGACAUCAUCGGCAUUUUGUUCCAGCCAUCCUCGAAGGAGAGACAAGAAAGUUUUCAGAGAUGCACAGGUUUUUCCAAGGUGUUGGGAUAUUUUGGCCUCGAAAUUGAAAUUUCGACUUUCAACCGAAUAUUCUAGCUUAAACUUUAAUCCGACCAGCUAGGAAAAAGGCCUAAAGAUAGUAAAGAAGAUAUUCAGCAAUGAAAACUUGUUUCUUCUUGGCGAAAUCGAUUAGAAAUAUGGGAGCUUUAAUCUUUAUUUACUUCUCCUUUAGCAAAGUCAUAUCGAUGAGCGUCAUGCGAUUAAAAAGACAGGGAAAUGGCUGAGAAGGAAGUCUCCUCGCAU
This is a long non-coding RNA of Stegodyphus dumicola, 681 nucleotides long. RefSeq lists it as uncharacterized. NCBI's taxonomy places the organism in Eukaryota, Metazoa, Arthropoda, Arachnida, Araneae, Eresidae. The record is from RefSeq and is a predicted model, not a curated record.